RNAcentral lists this unclassified non-coding RNA (335 nucleotides) under fungal sp. RNAcentral's name for it is "partial internal transcribed spacer region". The stretch from base 1 to 46 matches the Rfam family "Eukaryotic small subunit ribosomal RNA", at positions 1786 to 1831 of the family's 1831-position model. The record is from RNAcentral. Lineage: Eukaryota; Fungi.
AAGUCGUAACAAGGUCUCCGUAGGUGAACCUGCGGAGGGAUCAUUAAACAAAUCUAAUAUACCAUUGAAAGCAAUAAUGUAUAGCUAUUAGCUAUAUGUUAUUCUUUCCAAGGUAGGCAUAAAGUGAAAUUUCGUGAAAUAUCGUAAAUUUCACUUUAUGUCUUAUGGAGCAAAGUGUCAUAAGUAGUAGUUAAUGCUACUACUUUUUAUGCUUGGCUCUGAUAAAGUCAGGAAUUGCUUAGGCGAUGACUGUCUUUAUAACACACGAUAUAAAAUUGACAUAUAAUGACAAAAUUAAAACAACAACUUUUAACAAUGGAUCUCUUGGCUCUUAC